This 1155-nucleotide long non-coding RNA is filed under the name Chloebia gouldiae (Gouldian finch). RNAcentral's name for it is "Erythrura gouldiae (Gouldian finch) lncRNA (ENSEGOG00005012981.1)". Lineage: Eukaryota; Metazoa; Chordata; Aves; Passeriformes; Passeridae. The record is from RNAcentral.
CGCGAACGCAGUUGGAACUCUAGAGGGUGCUAAGAGACCGCCCAAAAGGGCAGGAGAAAGAGCAAAGUGAGGUGGAACAAGGGGAAGGGGAGGCUCCCAUCGUUUCCCGGACAACGAUUAGAGGAAAAGCAGAGCGCACUUGGUAAGGAAAAGGGACCUUGGAAGCGGGAAUGGCCGCGGGCUGGGAAGUUGGACCCUGCCCAACAGCGGGAGAAGAUUGAAGGGAAACAGGAGAUUCUACAUCAGCUUAACCCCUGAGGCUGGGGAAAGAAGAACUGAAUUUUUGAUGUCUCCUUCCAGCAGACAUGGAUGGAUGGAUGGAUGGAUGGAUGGAUGGAUGGAUGGAUGGAUGGAUGGAUGGAUGGAUAAACUACUGCUAAGACAUGUUUAUACUGCACCACUACUUUUAUAAUUAGAGAAUGGCAAAUGGGUUUUAGUCUGCCUUGGGAGAAAACAUUAUGUUCAUGAAUCCAUUGGUUCUGCUCUGCAACUCUAAAAUGUACCACCAGGGCUAAUGUUUCACCAGCUUAAUGUGAAAGGGCUGUGAUUGCAACAAGGGGCAACAAGUCUCACUAGCUGCUAUCCUGCCUCCAACAAACAUUUAUGCACCAGUCCCAGGAGGUUCCCAAACACAAAUAGUUACACAUUACUGCAGUGCAUUUUUUUCUGUCACAGCUAUUCAAAAGAAAGAUUAGGAGAACCCAAUUACAUGGCUGUAAUAACGCUGUGCAUAGCCACGAGCACUAACAGAAAUUUUAAGCAAUUCUACAAGACAGAGAAAAUUAAUGGGUUGUUGAAUGAAGCCUGUGAAUAUAACCAGCCAUAGGACUAAUAGUAUCCAGGACAGGAGAAUCAAUAUAGGAUUGAAGGGAUUGAGGGGGACUUGGCUGGCCAUGCAGGAAGUUUGGGAGUGGGACCUGUGAGUGAACAAACUCUCAGCUGCAGGAGUGACAUAGCAGGACAUGAACAGGUAGGAGGGAUGAUGGCAGAGCUUUAAAAUAAGAGCUAAAAGAGUUGCUGCAUAUGAAAAAAAAAAUGCAUAUGCAUACAUAUAUGUUGCAUAUAUAUACACAUGUAUGUCAACAUACACACAUGUACAUAUAACUUCAUAAAUAUGAAAUGCUGAAUAAAGUUAUUAUAUGGCAAAUUCUUUCA